RNAcentral lists this ribosomal RNA (495 nucleotides) under uncultured bacterium. Its description in RNAcentral is "partial 16S ribosomal RNA". It matches the Rfam family "Bacterial small subunit ribosomal RNA", at positions 28 to 507 of the family's 1533-position model. The record is from RNAcentral.
GACGAACGCUGGCGGCGUGCCUAAUACAUGCAAGUAGAACGCUGAAGGAGGAGCUUGCUUCUCUGGAUGAGUUGCGAACGGGUGAGUAACGCGUAGGUAACCUGCCUGGUAGCGGGGGAUAACUAUUGGAAACGAUAGCUAAUACCGCAUAAGAGUAGAUGUUGUAUGACAUUUGCUUAAAAGGUGCAAUUGCAUCACUACCAGAUGGACCUGCGUUGUAUUAGCUAGUUGGUGGGGUAACGGCUCACCAAGGCGACGAUACAUAGCCGACCUGAGAGGGUGAUCGGCCACACUGGGACUGAGACACGGCCCAGACUCCUACGGGAGGCAGCAGUAGGGAAUCUUCGGCAAUGGACGGAAGUCUGACCGAGCAACGCCGCGUGAGUGAAGAAGGUUUUCGGAUCGUAAAGCUCUGUUGUAAGAGAAGAACGAGUGUGAGAGUGGAAAGUUCACACUGUGACGGUAUCUUACCAGAAAGGGACGGCUAACUACGUG